RNAcentral lists this ribosomal RNA (309 nucleotides) under uncultured archaeon. RNAcentral's name for it is "bacterial SSU rRNA". It matches the Rfam family "Archaeal small subunit ribosomal RNA", at positions 526 to 834 of the family's 1478-position model. The record is from RNAcentral.
UGGAUAUGUGCAUCCCUUGUGAAAUCGUUGGGCUCAACCCAACGGCGUGCUGGGGACACGGCAUAUCUUGGGAGCGGGAGGAGCAAGAGGUAUUCGGGGGGGACCGGUAAAAUGGUAUAAUCCCUCGAAGACCACCGAUGGCGAAAGCAUCUUGCCAGAACGCGUCCGACAGUCAGGGACGAAAGCCAGGGGAGCGAACCGGAUUAGAUACCCGAGUAGUCCUGGCCGUAAACGCUGUGAGCUAGGCGUUGCACUACCCAAGAGGUUGUGCAGUGUCGAAGAGAAGUCAUUAAGCUCACCGCCUGGGGA